Zea mays is the source of this 187-nucleotide long non-coding RNA. RefSeq lists it as uncharacterized. The record is from RefSeq and is a predicted model, not a curated record. Lineage: Eukaryota; Viridiplantae; Streptophyta; Magnoliopsida; Poales; Poaceae. The transcript is spliced from 3 exons.
AACAAACCUGUUGUCGUACUAUUUGUUGGAUGCCUUGCUAAGCGAUUCAAAGGAGAAGCAUAUCUAAGUGCCACGGCAGCAUGUACAUGGUACUUCAACCCAGACAUUCCUGAAGCCCAGGUGUAUUACAGCAAGUUGCUAAACACUAAGCUUCAAAUGAUACGCCCUCAAGCAACUGAGAAAGAAU